CCUACGGGGGGCAGCAGUGAGGAAUAUUGGUCAAUGGACGAGAGUCUGAACCAGCCAAGUCGCGUGAAGGAUGAAUGCCCUAUGGGUUGUAAACUUCUUUUAUAUGGGAAUAAAAUGUUCCACGUGUGGGAUUUUGUAUGUACCAUAUGAAUAAGGAUCGGCUAACUCCGUGCCAGCAGCCGCGGUAAUACGGAGGAUCCGAGCGUUAUCCGGAUUUAUUGGGUUUAAAGGGAGCGUAGGUGGAUUGUUAAGUCAGUGGUGAAAGUUUGCGGCUCAACCGUAAAAUUGCAGUUGAAACUGGCAGUCUUGAGUACAGUAGAGGUGGGCGGAAUGCGUGGUGUAGCGGUGAAAUGCUUAGAUAUCACGAAGAACUCCGAUUGCGAAGGCAGUUCACUGGACUGCAACUGACACUGAGGCUCGAAAGUGUGGGUAUCAAACAGGAUUAGAUACCCCAGUAGUC
Molecule: ribosomal RNA, 460 nt
Filed under: uncultured bacterium
Lineage: Bacteria
Description: partial 16S ribosomal RNA
Rfam family: Bacterial small subunit ribosomal RNA
Source: RNAcentral